GCUGACACGUCCCGGCCAAUCUCCAGCAGACCCUCCCUCCCAGACCCUCCUACUUCCUGGACAGCAUCCAUGUUGAAAGUAGUUGAAACAUGGAUGCUGUCCAGGAAGUAGGAGGGUCUGGGAGGGAGGGUCUGCUGGAGAUUGGCCGGGACGUGUCAG
Molecule: non-coding RNA, 159 nt
Organism: Pelobates cultripes (western spadefoot toad)
Lineage: Eukaryota; Metazoa; Chordata; Amphibia; Anura; Pelobatidae
Source: the annotation of a GenBank genome assembly